AGUUCAUUGAGCAACAGACGG
Molecule: microRNA, 21 nt
Filed under: Ananas comosus (pineapple)
Lineage: Eukaryota; Viridiplantae; Streptophyta; Magnoliopsida; Poales; Bromeliaceae
Description: microRNA s0789_c108a
Source: RNAcentral